RNAcentral lists this ribosomal RNA (253 nucleotides) under uncultured bacterium. RNAcentral's name for it is "partial 16S ribosomal RNA". It matches the Rfam family "Bacterial small subunit ribosomal RNA", at positions 524 to 776 of the family's 1533-position model. The record is from RNAcentral.
UACGGAGGGGGCUAGCGUUGUUCGGAAUCAUUGGGCGUAAAGGGCGCGUAGGCGGCCGAUCAAGUCGGAGGUGAAAUCCCUCGGCUCAACUGAGGAAUUGCCUUCGAUACUGUUCGGCUUGAGUCCUGGAGAGGGUAGCGGAAUUCCCGGUGUAGCGGUGAAAUGCGUAGAUAUCUGGAGGAACACCGGUGGCGAAGGCGGCAUCCUGGACCGGCAUUGACGCUGAGGCGCGAAAGCCAGGGGAGCAAACGGG